UAAUGGAAUUUCUACAUCGCAGUAGUUGGAAAAAAGAUGUUUUCUCAUGAAUAUACGUUUAAAAUAAGUAAACACUAAAUGUGCACACCGACAGUUGAUUACGAUACAUCUAAGAAAUUGAGUCAUUACAGUAAAACAUGGAAUAUAAGUGAAUUAUACGCGUAAGAGAAGAUUUUCUGUCGAAAAAACGAAUGUCAACAAUCAGCAUGGAACUGGGAUAUUCGUAUCAAAAGGCUAUUCAUGCAGGAAAAGGACUGAAUAUUACUAUUAUAUAAAGAAUUCCAGCCUGCAUUAAAUACUUUGUUGGAUCAUUGAGACAGAUUUGACAUCCAUGUCUAUCCACAAGGCAGUCACAUCUGAAAGAGAUGAUCACUAAACAUUCUAGAUGGGUAAAGAACCUGAAGGGGCAUGAAAACCAAAUCAGCAUUGACUCAGUAUUGAGAAUUAUCAUCUGUGCACACACUACAAGUACAAACGCAUGGGAACAAACCAAACAUCAAAUGUUGAAGAGUGAAGAAUUAUUGUGAAAAAUUCUAAAUGUUAGAAUACCAUUGACUAAAUAAAACAAAUAGACAUCGAUUACCAACAGAGACUGUUUACAUGUUAUAAUAUUAAAAAGACAUUAGUUGAGAUCUUUCACUUUGACAUUUUUGGAGGGGCAUUACCGCCUACUUAGUGUUCUUGUUUUUUUACAUAUUUAAAUUUAAAAGUACAUACAUUGUUUUUAAAUCUGAAUUCUGAGUUAGUAUCAUAAGUAAAAUUCAUUUAUUUGAAUGAUUACAUUUUAUGAAUAAGUCCAAUUAAGCUUUAUCAAUUUUUACAAGAAAAAGGUUGAUUUUUAAGCAUUUUUAGUUAUAAAAAUGUAUAGUUACAUGACAUUAUGUAUAUUUUCUUCAAAACUGAAUGGUAAACUAUCAUAAAUUGUCUUUUUAAUUGUUCAUUAGACAUCAUAGAAAAUAUUUAAAAUGAUUUCAGCAGGUUGUCUUAUUAUUAACUAUUUUUUAUGAAUUUAUAAAACUGCUAUAUAUUUUCAAACAUCGAAAUACUGCUCUGUUCCGAAGACUCACAAGAUCAAUCAAAAUGAUUUUUUUCCAUGUGUAUCAAUAAUAUGUUCGGUUGAACUUAAUUUUUCUGUAAACUGAAGUAUAUUUUACCAGAAACUGUUGUGUUUAUUUCAUAAUCUCUGAUAAUGUGGAAAAAAAAAUCAAAUAUAGACAAAAUAUUUUUAAUUCACGAUAAAAAAAUCUUCAAAAUUUGGAUAAAAGUCCCAUAGUGUACCAUGAUAAUAACUAUGUUGUCGGUUAAAGCUUUAUAAAAGUGUGUAUUACUUAUACCUUAAUUCAGUUUAAAUAAUUAUGGCCUUUAAGGAUUUUUGUUUUCAUAUAGAUUUCCUAUUAUAUUGAGCUUUGUCAAUUUUUAGCUCUACUGGCCAAUGUGUACGUAGUAUGUGCAUCCGUGCGUCUGUAAACAAUUGGUUGUGAACACGAUACAGUCUUCAGUUUUGAUUGUAUCUUGAUGAACAUUGUACAGUAUUUAGAUAUCCAUUAGAGCUCGGUUCCUUUUGAAAACCAGCCAGAUCCGCCCAUGCAUGCCUAGAUUAUGGCCCUUGAUAGUAUAAAAAAAUGCUAUUGUGUAAACACUAGCUUGUGAACACGAUACAGUCUUCAGUUUUGAUUGUAUCUCGAUGAAACUUGUACAGUAUUUAGAUAUCCAUUAGAGCUCUUUUUUUUCAAAAACCAGCCAGAUCCGACCGUACAUGCCUAGAUUAUGGGCCUUGAAAGUAUUAAAAAAUCAGUUUGUCUGUAAACAAUUGCUUGUGAACAUGAUACAGUCUUCAGUUUUGAUUGUAUCUCGAUUUGUACAGUAUUUAGAUAUCCAUUAGAGCUCGGUUCCUUUCGAAAACCAGCCAGAUCCGACCAUGCAAGCCUAGAUUAUGGACCUUGAAAGUAUUAAAAAAUCAGUUUGUCUGUAAACAAUUGCUUGUGAACAUGAUACAGUCUUCAGUUUUGAUUGUAUCUCGAUGAAAUUUGUGCAGUAUUUAGAUAUCCAUUAGAGCUCGGGUUUUUUUGAAAACCAGCCAGAUCUGCACAUGCAUGCCUGGAUUAUGGGUCUUUAAAGUAUAAAAAAUUUAAUUUGAAGCUUAGUCUAUUUUUAGCCAAGUCUACAUGAGUGAAGUCUAUUUUUAGCCAAGUUUACAUGUAAAGUCACAAUUGCUUGUGAAGGUUUGUUCAAAUAAUGCCCCUGGGGUCAUUACUGCCCCCCCCCCCCCCCCCCCCCCCCACGGAGAUUGUCCCGCAAGGGACCAGUGCGACAAAUGCAAACGACCUCGGCGACGUUGGCGGAGGCCCAGGGAAGAGUUCUCUUUUCUUUGUAAGGGACGGAGCCCCCCCCCCCCCCCCUUAAAUAUAAAACCUUUUUGUCUGAAACCACUAUGCAAAUCCUUGCUAUUUUGAACAAGGCUUUAUUAAGUGGUCCACUACCAUGGUUGUUCAAAUUAUGCCCCUUGGGUCAAAACUGGCACUGCCCUGGGUGUCACUAUUUUCCUAAAGACUUGUUAAAGAAAUAUUUUCAAAAUCUUCUUGUUUCAAACCACAAGGCCUAUACCUUUGAUGUUUGUUGUGGAGCAUCAUAUGAUGCAAUUGAAAACAUUUGAAAUAAUGCCCCUUGGGCAAAAGCUGGCCCCACCCCUUUUGACUUACUUAUUAAUUUUUAAAGCUACGGUAAUGAAAUUUUGACCAUGUGAACAGUUUUGCAAACAAGCAUUAAUGUUGUCCUUGGAUGUCCUUGACUUUGACCUUUGACCGACUUUUUAUUUUUAAAGCUACAGAAUUGAAAUUUUGACCAUGAGUACAGUUUUGAAAGCAAAUAUUUUCUACCCUCAGAUUACCUUUACUUGGCACAUAUGAAAAUAGUUCAUGCAACUAAUCUGCUUACAACACUUCAUGUCCUCAGAUGUUGAACGUGCAGCACUUCCUGUCAGUCAAUUUGAUGUGUGUUAUAAAUACAAUUAUAUGUAUUGAUAUCAAAUAAGAGUUUCACUUUAAAGAUGCUCAUUUAAAGAUAAUGAACAGACACACAAAAACUAGACCCAUUUGAUACUAAUUAUAUGAAUGAUUAUUGUUUUGGUGACCUCUGAUUUGUUUUGGAGAUAUUUAUAAAUGGGUGUUAUUCUUUGUUGUCUUCAGUUUCUUAUACAUUUAAGGAUUUUUAUAAUUGCUUUUCUGGUAUAUAUUACAAUGUAAUUUAAUGCAAAUGAAAACACACUUUAAACUAGACACAUUUGAUACUAAUGAUAUAAAUGAUUAUUGUUUACAUGUACUCUGAUUUGUUAUGAAGAUAUUCAUUAAGGGGUGUUCUUCAUGUUAUUAUACAUUUUGGACUUGAUUUAGUAUUGCUUUUCUGGUAUAUAUUCAUUUAAUGCACAAAGAAAUUAUUUUAAGUGUUCAGUAUCACUUUCA
Mya arenaria is the source of this 3458-nucleotide long non-coding RNA. RefSeq lists it as uncharacterized. Lineage: Eukaryota; Metazoa; Mollusca; Bivalvia; Myida; Myidae. The record is from RefSeq and is a predicted model, not a curated record. The transcript is spliced from 3 exons.